RNAcentral lists this ribosomal RNA (253 nucleotides) under uncultured bacterium. Its description in RNAcentral is "partial 16S ribosomal RNA". It matches the Rfam family "Bacterial small subunit ribosomal RNA", at positions 524 to 776 of the family's 1533-position model. The record is from RNAcentral.
UACGAAGGGGGCUAGCGUUGUUCGGAAUUACUGGGCGUAAAGCGCGCGCAGGCGGUCUUCCAAGUCAGUGGUGAAAGCCCGGAGCUCAACUCCGGAACUGCCAUUGAGACUGUUAGACUUGAGGACGAGAGAGGUGAGUGGAAUUCCCAGUGUAGAGGUGAAAUUCGUAGAUAUUGGGAAGAACACCGGUGGCGAAGGCGGCUCACUGGCUCGUAUCUGACGCUCAGGCGCGACAGCGUGGGGAUCAAACAGG